This 400-nucleotide unclassified non-coding RNA is filed under the name soil metagenome. RNAcentral describes it as "partial contains 5.8S ribosomal RNA, internal transcribed spacer 2, and large subunit ribosomal RNA". The stretch from base 1 to 122 matches the Rfam family "5.8S ribosomal RNA", at positions 35 to 154 of the family's 154-position model. The record is from RNAcentral.
GAUGAAGAACGUAGCGAAAUGCGAUACUUGGUGUGAAUUGCAGAAUCCCGUGAACCAUCGAGUCUUUGAUCGCAAGUUGCGCCUCAAGCCAUUAGGUUGAGGGCACGUCUGCCUGGGCGUCACAUAUCGUUGCCUGAUGCCAGUUUCCUCGUGAUGGGUGACUGUGCAGGGCGAAUGAUGGCUUCCCGUGAGCAUUGUUGCCUCAUGGUUGGUUGAAAAUUGAGUCCUUGGUAGGGAGCGCCGUGAUAGAUGGUGGUUGAGUGACGAACGAGACCCAAUCAUGUGAGACCCCUACCGAAUUUGGCCUUCAUGACCCACAUGCGUCUUUGGAACGCUCAUGACGAGACCUCAGGUCAGGCGGGGCUACCCGCUGAGUUUAAGCAUAUCAAUAAGCGGAGGA